AUGUUUCCUGCAAGCAAUGGCGCGCCCCAGUGGCAGCUUCUCAUCAUCAUCCUCUACGCCGGCUGCUUCCUCCUCUCCUCGCCGCUCGAUGCUCCUUGACAUGUCGCCGCCGCAACGCCGCCACCCAUCUCAUUUAGCUUCAACUUCGCCAACUCAUCCUCAUACGAUGCAAAAUACCUCAAUUUCUCGGGUGACGCGGCCGUGAACGACAGCUUGGUCAACCUUGCAGGUCUAACUGCAGCAGCGAUUGCUGGAGGAGCUUCUGUGUUCCUGCUCGUGGAUUCGUUCAUUCUAUGAUGGUUUAUGUGGAGACGAAGGCGUAAUUCCCUCAUGGUUUCGAGGGCUGGCCCUAAGCAAUUCCGGUACCGGGACUUGGCUUGCCCAACCAACAACUUCUCCAUGGAGAGGAAGCUCGGAAGGGGCAGCUUUGGCACGGUGUACUGGGGAACAGACCUCAAGGUCGGUCAUGAUGGAGGAUAACAAUAGGUUGUUGUCAAGGAGCUCUUGAAGGGGUCCAGGCUAGGAGGAGUCAAGGACCUCCUCACGGAAGUCAACACCAUUAGCAACACCAAGCACAAGAAUCUGGUCAAGUUGCAAGGCUGGUGCGGCAUAAGCAGAUGGGACUUGAUGUGCUGGUGCCUGAAGCAGCUGGAUGAUCAUAGGCUCUUCCUUGUCUACGAAUUGAUGCCUCAGGGUGAUCUCAACCAUCACCUACAUGACAAGGACGCGACAGUUCUGCGAUGGCCAACCAGGUACAAAAUAGUGAAGGGGAUAGGAUCGGCUCUUUUCUACCUCCACGAGUGUUGCUACAUCCUACAUAGAGAUAUCAAGCCAGGCAACAUACUCUUGGAUGAUGAUUACAAUGCCAAGCUCGCCGACUUCGGGCUAUCAAGGAUUGGCAACAAAAACAACUCCUCACUGGUGACCACCACCGUGGGGACCAAUGCGUACAUGGAUCCCAAGUUAAAAAUAUAAGGUGAUGUCAAGUUCGACAGGAGCACCGAUGUCUAUAGCUUCGGGCUCAUUCUAUUGGAGAUCGCGUGUGGGUGGCGCAACUCCAGGAAGGAAGUAUGGGAUCACUAUAAAAGAAGGGAGCAGAUGAAGAUGGUGGAGGCCACUGCUGAUGAGAGGUUGGGAGGCGACUUUGAUAUGGAGCAGAUGCAGCAUGUACUUGUCAUGGGCCUUUGGUGUCCCCUCCCCAACGGUGCAGAGUGACCUUCCAUGCUGGAAGCAAUGCAACUACAGGAAAAAGACGAGCUGCCUCACCUUACAUCGUCAGCCACCACCACUUGUAUUUAG
RNAcentral lists this ribosomal RNA (1299 nucleotides) under Triticum aestivum (bread wheat). RNAcentral describes it as "partial small subunit ribosomal RNA". Lineage: Eukaryota; Viridiplantae; Streptophyta; Magnoliopsida; Poales; Poaceae. The record is from RNAcentral.